AAUUUCCGGCUUUCGUAGGUGACCUGCGGAGGAUCAUUA
Molecule: ribosomal RNA, 39 nt
Filed under: Macowanites sp.
Lineage: Eukaryota; Fungi; Basidiomycota; Agaricomycetes; Russulales; Russulaceae
Description: partial 18S ribosomal RNA
Source: RNAcentral